CGUAAGCCCAUCAGAAUUAUGGAAAAAUCCAAAUAAAUUACUAAGUGGCAGUGAGAAAAGGCGUACAGUUACAGAAAAAAAACGUAAAUUUUUAUGGAACAUCCAUUCUAGUGCCGUUAUCUGAGCAUAUUCUAGUGAGCUCAUUUACAGUUCCGUACAACAAUGGCAUCCAGCGGCGAGCAAAAUAAAUCCUUAAGAUCAAUAGGUACCCACCCUAAAAUAAGGACAUCAAGGCAUCGUUAUUAUGGUAAAAAUAUAUAUCCAUCGGUUGUUGCAAUGAUUCACUUCAUUCAGUUGAUUAUUUGGAAUCUUUUCAUAUAUAAAGUGGCCCCAGAAGUCGAAGAAAAUGUUGAAAAUGCCGCACAAAAUUUAGUACCUGAAUUGCCCUAUUUCUGGUGGUAGGGCUUGCCUAGAACUUUUUUAUUCAUCCGUUUUUGUUUGU
This is a long non-coding RNA of Amyelois transitella, 442 nucleotides long. RefSeq lists it as uncharacterized. The transcript has 3 exons. The record is from RefSeq and is a predicted model, not a curated record. Lineage: Eukaryota; Metazoa; Arthropoda; Insecta; Lepidoptera; Pyralidae.